AUUGAACGCUGGCGGCAUGCCUUACACAUGCAAGUCGAACGGCAGCACGGGUGCUUGCACCUGGUGGCGAGUGGCGAACGGGUGAGUAAUACAUCGGAACAUGUCCUGUAGUGGGGGAUAGCCCGGCGAAAGCCGGAUUAAUACCGCAUACGAUCUACGGCUGAAAGCGGGGGACCUUCGGGCCUCGCGCUAUAGGGUUGGCCGAUGGCUGAUUAGCUAGUUGGUGGGGUAAAGGCCUACCAAGGCGACGAUCAGUAGCUGGUCUGAGAGGACGACCAGCCACACUGGGACUGAGACACGGCCCAGACUCCUACGGGAGGCAGCAGUGGGGAAUUUUGGACAAUGGGCGAAAGCCUGAUCCAGCAAUGCCGCGUGUGUGAAGAAGGCCUUCGGGUUGUAAAGCACUUUUGUCCGGAAAGAAAUCCUUGGCCCUAAUACGGUCGGGGGAUGACGGUACCGGAAGAAGAAGCACCGGCUAACUACGU
This 485-nucleotide ribosomal RNA is filed under the name uncultured bacterium. RNAcentral describes it as "partial 16S ribosomal RNA". It matches the Rfam family "Bacterial small subunit ribosomal RNA", at positions 30 to 506 of the family's 1533-position model. The record is from RNAcentral.